AUGUACCACGCGUGCACUCCGGUUUUGAGUGCGCCGCCCGUACCCAUCUGACGACUGCUCGCUAGGUUUUAUUAGCC
Molecule: small RNA, 77 nt
Filed under: Xanthomonas sp. NCPPB 1560
Lineage: Bacteria; Pseudomonadati; Pseudomonadota; Gammaproteobacteria; Lysobacterales; Lysobacteraceae
Also listed under: 5 other names
Description: sX9 sRNA
Rfam family: Xanthomonas sRNA sX9
Source: RNAcentral